CAAUAGCGUAUAUUUAAGUUGUUGCAGUUAAAAAGCUCGUAGUUGGAUUUCGGUUAAGAGCGACCGGUCCGCCGUUUGGUGUGCACUGGUUGGUUUUAACUUCCUGUAGAGGACGUGCUCUGGGUUUAACGACCUGGACUCGGAGUCUACGUGGUUACUUUGAAAAAAUUAGAGUGUUCAAAGCGGGCUUACGCUUGAAUAUUUCAGCAUGGAAUAACACUAUAGGACUCCUGUCCUAUUUCGUUGGUCUCGGGACGGGAGUAAUGAUUAAGAGGAACAGUUGGGGGCAUUCGUAUUUCAUUGUCAGAGGUGAAAUUCUUGGAUUUAUGAAAGACGAACUUCCGCGAAAGCAUUUACCAAGGAUGUUUNCAUUA
RNAcentral lists this ribosomal RNA (374 nucleotides) under uncultured eukaryote. RNAcentral describes it as "partial 18S ribosomal RNA". It matches the Rfam family "Eukaryotic small subunit ribosomal RNA", at positions 592 to 975 of the family's 1831-position model. The record is from RNAcentral.